GCACCCGUAGCUCAAUUGGAUAGAGCACCAGACUACGAAUCUGGGGGUUAGAGGUUCGAGU
RNAcentral lists this transfer RNA (61 nucleotides) under Asaia sp. SF2.1. Its description in RNAcentral is "tRNA-Arg". It matches the Rfam family "tRNA", at positions 1 to 58 of the family's 71-position model. From Rfam's summary of the family: Transfer RNA (tRNA) molecules are approximately 80 nucleotides in length. Their secondary structure includes four short double-helical elements and three loops (D, anti-codon, and T loops). Further hydrogen bonds mediate the characteristic L-shaped molecular structure. tRNAs have two regions of fundamental functional importance: the anti-codon, which is responsible for specific mRNA codon recognition, and the 3' end, to which the tRNAs corresponding amino acid is attached (by aminoacyl-tRNA synthetases). tRNAs cope with the degeneracy of the genetic code in two manners: having more than one tRNA (with a specific anti-codon) for a particular amino acid; and 'wobble' base-pairing, i.e. permitting non-standard base-pairing at the 3rd anti-codon position. The record is from RNAcentral. Lineage: Bacteria; Pseudomonadati; Pseudomonadota; Alphaproteobacteria; Acetobacterales; Acetobacteraceae.